RNAcentral lists this ribosomal RNA (292 nucleotides) under uncultured bacterium. RNAcentral describes it as "partial 16S ribosomal RNA". It matches the Rfam family "Bacterial small subunit ribosomal RNA", at positions 505 to 796 of the family's 1533-position model. The record is from RNAcentral.
GUGCCAGCAGCCGCGGUAAUACGUAGGGACCGAGCGUUAUCCGGAUUCAUUGGGCGUAAAGAGCUCGUAGGCGGCUAUUCAAGUCGAACGUGAAAUCUCGGGGCUCAACCCCGAGCCUGCGUUCGAUACUGAAUAGCUAGAGUCUGGUAGGGGGAUCUGGAAUUCCUGGUGUAGCGGUGGAAUGCGCAGAUAUCAGGAGGAACACCGGUGGCGAAGGCGGGAUCCUGGGCCAGUACUGACGCUGAGGAGCGAAAGCGUGGGGAGCAAACAGGAUUAGAUACCCGCGUAGUCC